RNAcentral lists this long non-coding RNA (34002 nucleotides) under Ananas comosus (pineapple). RNAcentral describes it as "long non-coding RNA (ACOM_LNC006453)". The record is from RNAcentral. Lineage: Eukaryota; Viridiplantae; Streptophyta; Magnoliopsida; Poales; Bromeliaceae.
UUUUAUUUUUAAAGGGUGGGGGGGAGGAGGGGUGUGCGGGGGUUGAACAUUCAUUUGAUUAUCGGAACGAGAAGCUUAUAACAAACUCACAAAACCCACAGACUAAUUACUUUGGAAAACAAAUUAAAUAAAUAAAUAAACUAGGAACUAGUUAGGAACUAGGAAGAAUGUUUUGCACUCGGAUCAUCUCUAUAAUUUCAAGCUCUUGGCAGAUUGCAGUAAGCUCAGCAAAAUGUAAGAGAGGCUGUGACACCGUGUGCUUGCCAUCCUUAGAAUUAACUAUUGGGAAAAUGUACAAUCUGGCGCCUCAUGAUCUUGUCUAUUUAAUAAUUACUACUAAUUACUACUAAUAAAUGGCAUCCAUGGCAGCCAUCCCCGUUCACAAUAAAUAGAAGAAAAUAGUUCAAAUGUAGCCCCGAAAGACAGGCUUAGAGCCCCACCAAUGUGGAUUGUGGACGCACAGAGUAUCUAUGGAUGACAUACACCAUGACCAGAUUGUCUAGUAUAAGUCUAGUCUAAUCUAAUUAGGAAAGGUUUCCCUAUAUUCAAGAACAAGGUGCAUGAAAGGAGAAGUGAAAGUGUUGGCAAAUCAAUUUGUUGUUAAAGAGCGUAUGAACCUGAUCCAGCGCAUUUUAGGGAAUCUCUCUCUUACAACAUCACAGAGGAUAUAUAUAUAUAUAUAUAUAUAUAUAUAUAUAUAUAUAUAUAUAUAUAUAUAUAUAUAUAUAUAUAUAUAUAUGUGAGAGAGAAGAGACAGAGGGAAAAUUUUGAAUUAGAAUAUUUUCAAAAGCACCAAAAAGUUUGUAGCCCUUGAAUAUAGUGAUGUAGCGGUAGGAUAAUUGUGGUAGGUGUUGGUAAGUAAAAUAGUAUUUGAUCUAAAUGUUAGAAACCUAAAAGCACUACACGAUUGGUGCUCCUAGGUGUAUUCUAGCUCAAUUCUAUAUAUAUAGGGAGAUAGUAAGGCUAAUGUGCUAUUAAGAGUAUAACAGUUUUUGUGCUCCUAAUUUUAUAAUCAUUUAUCAAUUUUGAUGAAUGAUUAGGGUGAAAAUAUAAGAGAAAUUUGAUGGAAGAAAAAUUAAGACACCUAAAUUCUCUCCUAUUUUUUUUCUCUCUCUCAUCAUAAUCAUCCAUCCAUAUUGAUGGAUGGUUAGGAAAUAAAGAGUAUAAGAACUGUUGUAUUUUAAUAGCAUAGUAGUCUCCUAUACUAUCUAUAGUACUUGGGCUCCGGUACUAAGUCUCGUUUUCGAUCUUAGGGUGUUCAAAUCAACGAUCCACACUGUUAAAACUGAUUUAGGGUAUUUAAAGUUUUUGAAAAUAAAAUUUUAUAUUUUUUCGACAUAGUUUAUUUUAUGAUCAAAUCAUUUUAAAAUUAUCAAUUUUCAAUGGCUACUAUGGCGAGUUUGGAGUUUAACGGUAUAGAAGAAUCUAAAUUUUUUCAAAUUUUGAUAAAAAAUACUUCAAUUUUUACUGUCCAUUUUGACAUAAUUUAUUUACUAAGUAAAUGAUGUAAAAAAAAAACUAAAAUUUUAUUCCUAAGAACUUCAUAUACCUUAAAUCAUAUUUAACGGUGUGAAUCGUUAAUUUGAAUACCCUAAGAUCGAAAAUAAAAUUAUAGUACCGGAGCUCUAUAUUAUAUAUUUUUGAGAGAUAGGUAGCACGCUACCUGUUUCGUUUAUUUUAUUUAGAAAUAAACUUACAAAAAUUGUGAAUCAACUAAGAUUCGAACUUGGGUCUCAGAUACCACCACCAAAUUCUUAUCACUUAUUCUAUGGACGGUCUGUAAUUUUAUAUAUAUAUAUAUUGAUUGUUUUGAGGUGAGGUAGGUAUUAUACCUAACAAACGCAAUGCCUAUCCUAUAUCCUCGGUCCAUUUACAUUGCACUGCAUCAUCGUAUGUCUCGUCUCUCUCCAGUCGGCACUGGCCAGCUGGACCUUAAAUAUAGUUGGUAGCUCCCCACCGAGCUCUAGCUAGCCUAAUUCAUGAAUCAUGAUUAGAGCUCUCAAGAUACUUUAUUAGCGUCUCGGGAUUGACUUGUAAGUGGAGAACUAAAAUUUCAUCAGAGUGCUCUUAUGCGCCGAAGGGCCCAGGGAUGUGAUACGAUCGACUUAUGAGAAUAAAAAAGGACAAAGAGCUAGAUGUUUUUAACUGUUAGAUAUUUUUUGAUUGAAAAUAAAAAAACACCAUGAAUACAAGUCAGAUUCAAAUAAACGAAAGGGAAGCCGAGUGUAACACAAGAUAGUGGGCUAAAAUAAGAGAGCUCACAGUCUACCUUCAUCUAGCAGUUAAAGCGGUGCAACUGGAGCUUGGCAUAAUUGGUAAUUAGAAAUAUCAAGAAGCUAGGAUUUUGAACAUUUGAUCUGUAAAGCAUUUGGCCCAACCAACCGGCCGUCCAUCCAGCAGCAGCAGCAGCAGCAGCAGCAGCAGCAAGGACAACAAAAACAAGGCCGUCCAUCCAACAACAGCAGAAGCAGCAGCAGCAACGACAACAAAAACAGAAACAGAGAAUCUCUGCCAACUCACUUUCGGUCCAAACAACAGGUAAAUGAGGAGUGCGGACCGCCCAUGGUUGGGUCCCGUCGCUUUGUCUGUCUGAGAUCCCCCGCCUCCUCCACGUCCAGCUCUCUUAUAGUCCUUCGAGAGCAGCCUGCUCGGCUCUCCAAUUUGGGAAGACAAACACACCUUUUCAACUGUAGCUUUACCUGACCACACGUUUAGUAGCUCAAUUGCAAGAAAUACGCUUACUGAGUUGAAGCAAAUGUGUGCCGCCAACUUGCUAAAGGAAGAAAAAGGAAUCAUAUAGACAAAUGUCCCUAGCACUAAGGUCAGUCAUCUCAGAAGUUAUCUUCCAAGUAUUAUGGACCUUAGAAAAUAUUAGAGCGAAUCGGUCCGUUGCAUUGCAUACACCGCCUUAAGCUACCUCCGGCACCAAAGUUCAUCCCGUGGUUCACGUUUUUAUUCUCAAGCAGUGAUUAGGCGACAAUGACCAUGCGGAUAGUAACCUACCUGAUCAUAUCCAUAUCCAAAGACUCGACGGUCAAGGACCAUGCGGUAUGUACAGUUACGCUAGUUGGAGUCUUUGUGGAGUUAAUUAGUCAAUUUGUAUUAGCGGGUACUGAGUACUAGUUUUCCUAAUUAUUAAUGGCAGUGGGGUUCUAACCAUUUUCUCCGCUUUCUUUUCUCUACCUCACCGUUCUGAAUUCCAUUCUUCCCAGUAAACUCUCUAACCUAUCCCACUUCUCUCAAUUUUUAUUGAAUUGUGGGCUUGCAACCAUGUGCGUCUGUGCACGAGGCCGCAGUGCCUUCUGCACUCUUAUGAAUGAAGUGGGUCAAGACAUUGCCUCAAAAGAGAGGCAAAACACCCCCCCCCCCCCCNAAAAAAAAAAGAAUUUAGUUUUACUCAUUCACGGUAAUUACAGCAUCUGAUGAUUACAUUCACACAAAGAGACAAGCCAGCCUCCAACAUGGAGACCCCACACGAGACGAAACGAACCACAAAACAGGCCCGACGAACCGCAUGAUGCACAAAUCAAAAUCAACACAUUAAUAUACACUAGCGACCAUCAACAAGGCCUUAACAAAAAAGCAUGCUUCCCACGGCCCCACCCAACCUACAGCAAAGCGAUGUCUCACAACAGAGAUCAGAUAAUGUUAAAAUUCAGUUAAAAGUUCAUUUAUAGAACUCUCAAGCUGCAAGGACAAUGAUCACAAUAAGCAGCACAAUACCAAAAAUCACCAAAAGCAAGCACAUCUGCAACAAACACACCAACAAUCAGCUGAAACAGACAAAUAUUAUUCAUUUUGAGAAAUAUUCUAGACCGCAUAUUGGGCAUACCAGUGAUGAAUUUGACUUCUGCGUCUUGGAUGCUUUUGCAAGUUGGGUAUUUGCCUGUGCAGUAGAUGCAGCAGAGUUCUCAAUGUUGGCAUCGAUGUCAUCUGCAGGAAAACAAUGUGACAUUCAUUGAGAGACUUUUUCAUUCCCAAUGGCAAGGGCGGACGGGUGUGUGUGUGGGUUACCAAUCAUGGCUCCUUGAUCAUGGACAAGCAUGGCUAGGUCCUUAAAAAUCUCAUUCACUUCACCAAUCUGCUGCUGAAUCUCCUGAAUGCCUUGUUCUCGCUCCUCAAUGAUAGCCUCAUUGAAAGCAAUCUCAUUAUCCAAUAACAAAACCUCUUGUCUGCAACAUCCCAUGAAUUUAAAAUAGGAGGGUUAAUCCAAUUACAAACACUUCCUGUGGACGUUGGAAACAUAGCAAUGUUAGCUGCUGGAUUUUGUCUACAAUUGUCGGGUGCGGCUGAAAGGAAAGCAUUAAAGACUUGCGCAAGGGUUGGUUCAGUCGGGAUGUUUUCAUGCUCACUGUAUUCAGACAACAAGGAAAAAAGCCCGAGCUAAAUUGAUAUAUCCAACUAAUGAAGGCACUUCACUGGUUAACUGGCAGGUCAGGCAGGAAAUCUGGAUUAUUCAAUAGUGCCACCGUUUUCAAUGGAGAAUUCGAAACAUUGAUCAAAGUGAAAUCUGGAGUGGCCAUUACAAUGGGAAAAGAGCACAAGCAGAAUUAAAGAAACGAAAGCCUCCUAUCAAUUUAACAGACAGAGGACCAGAUUGAAAUUAUCAGUCAGCACUGUUUUGAGCUUCAUAACUGAAACAAUCGACGAGAAAUCUGUAGGGCAACUAGAUAGGAUAGCACAAGGCAAGUGAGAUGUCCAAUGUAAGAGCGCUGAAUAAUUGAGAGUGUGGCAGCUCAAGGGUGAAAAACCAAUGUACGAGAAUUUUCUAAAAAUUGAUCAAAACUUCUCAGUGCAUAGCUCCUUGGGGCCAAACAACAACAACCAUACCUUAUAUCAAGUAAGCCACUAAUGAUAAUUAUAUAUAGCAAAACAAGAGCAUGGUAUACAGACCUCCUUGAUUCAACAAGCAAUGCACGUUGUUCAGGUGUUUUAUCAGGACGAACAUUUAUCUCACUUGCUGUGUAGCUGUAUCAAAAUGACAAGAGACAAGAUUCACAUAAUAAGUUGGCAGUUAAAAUUCAUUGCAAAGAAAUGAAACAAGUGCUUUCCUUAUAUCCAAAACAAGUGAGGCUGUGAAGACGAACAUGACCAGGAAGCUUCAAAAUAUUCAAUUUGUCAAAGUCCUGAACCCUUUUGUACAACAGAAAUAUCGAACAAAAUAUUCAAUAAGAGCUAAAUAAGCUACACCGCUAGGAUCCAGCCAAGUAACACUACCUUGAAGGAAGCACUGCUUGGGGAACAAAUGAAGUAUAAGCCGUCUCCCUCUGAACUGCAAGGUUUUGAGCUUUUUGGAACUCUUGCAUAAUUGCUUUGAAAUCUUUUGCAAGCUUCGCAUCAGCAAUCUUUUUGCUUGCCUGCAGUGAAAAUAGAGAUUUCUUAGAACAACAAAGAAAUAUAAGUAGAGGAUAGAGUUAUAAAUAUAACCUGAUAUUAAUAAAGUUAACGACAAACUGCGAAAAUUGCACAAUGCUGAAACCACUCAUCUAUAAACUUGUAACCCUUUCUGAACAAAAGAGCACCUCAAAUUACAAUAGAAAUAAACGCUUGGAAACUACAACAUGGUAAAGGAACAUAAUAGAGGCUAUGUACAAAGCAGGGAACUGGACCUUGAAGCUUCAGAAGGCAUGGGAACUCAUCAUCUGUCAUUAACAUAGCCAAAGGGCAAGCCAGAGAAUUGUGAAAAUUAUUCAAAAAAUUGAGCCGCACAAAUUAGGCAGAGGGAAGAACAAGAAUCCUUGCAUAACAAGAAAGAAAGUUUUUUCUCCUGCGCACUCUAUCAUGCUCUUCCUAGUAAAAGAUGGUAACAACUCUGUUGAAAGCACUAGAGAUGAACAAUUCAAGUCAUAGGUUGAAAAAUUGAUAACGAAGUAAGUUACCACUGAUUUUUUGUAAGCCAUUGCACGAUUAGCUUUUGCUUUUGUCCAGAUGCACCUUGAGAUUUUGAGAGAGUACUUGAAGUGAGAGCAAGCAAGAUUAAUACAUAUAAACUAGAUUUCAUUUUAACUGUUUGUAGGGCCCACAUAUAUUGGAAUUCAGCCCACACUAUAAGAAACUUGUAUUUUAUCGAGCAACAAGUAAGCAAUUUGAUCUGGUUAGGGCCUAAUGCGGUCAAGUUUAAUUUAGGGUGCUCUGGAUAGCUCACUUGCAUCAGAACAGCAACUGAGGCUUGCAAAUCAUUCAAAUGUGGAAUCAUGCGUUCCAUUUAUAAGAUCAAAGAGACAGAGUGGAUAAGAAGAAAAGGUUCUAAUAAGAUACUUACGCUGAUUUCGCUGUUUUUAUCUGCUUCACUAGCUAGUUUGAGUUUGUCCGUGGUAUCUUUUAUUAGCUGAAGAAUAUGUACCCGUGUUUUGUGCCUGCGAGAAGGACAACAUGAAAUAUUGAAUUGGGACAGAAAACAAAGUUUCACAUGGAAUAGUUGGCGGAAAAUUCAGCAAUAUAGUUGAUUGUCAACAAACAGCUGCCAAAAGAACUUUGCAAGCACAUUGCAUCUCGGACUGAGACGAAAAGCAGAGCUUUUCAAUGUUACUCGGGACAAAGAUUGAGGGAUCAUCCGCCUCAACAAAUAAAUAGACCAUUAAAAUAUCAACGCAGGUGCCUUAUGGUUGGCCUUUUCCAAAAGCAAUAAGCCUUGCCAUCUUGAUGAAGUGCUCUAUCGCGUCGCGAUAUGUUGGCCGUGCGGCCAAAUACAGCCGCAGAAUAAAAGACCAGGUAAAACUCUAAACCUGUCGAAAAGAAUUUAGGAGAGAAAGAUGUUGGCCUUCCGUGGACUUCCUCUCGUUGAAAAGGAACGGACACUAAAUUCCGAUGGAUAAGAAACAUCGUCGAGAUAAGAAUCAAAGUACAGAUCAUUCGGUAAUUAAUCACUAGCCAAAGAAAAGAGUUUUUUUUUUUUGUUUUCAGCGAAGAAAAAUCAUUUCAAGAUCAGGGAGAAACAACCAAUACCAGGAAACGAACCAAUCUAGACAAUCUGACAUUUUGACCUGCAGAAGUAACAAAAAAAAAAAAAAAAAAAAAAANNNNNNNNNNNNNNNNNNNNACCAAUACCAGGAAACGAACCAAUCUAGACAAUCUGACAUUUUGACCUGCAGAAGUAACAAAAAAAAAAAAAAAAAAAAAAAAAAAAAAAGGAGGAAAGAGGAAGUAAAGGGAAGUUGCGGACAGCUUAUCGCGGAGGUCGGGCGUGUCCUUGGGGGUGCCGAUGGUGUUGACGAGGCGCUGGAAGGUGGCGACGGCGGUGGUGAUCUGGAAGACCCCCGACGCCACCGCCUGCGUGGAUUCCUUGCCCUUCCUCCCGUUGACCGCCACAUUCCCCCACCGGCCGCCGCCGCGCCCCGAUUCCAGGUCCUGGAAGCUCAUCCUCCUCCUCCACCUCCUCCUCCUCCUCCUCCUCCUCCUCCUCUUUCUUCUUCUUCUGAUAAUGAUGCUGAUGAUUUUAUGAUGGCGAUGACGAUGAUCUUUUAUCUCCUCCUCCUCCUCCUCCUUUUCCUCCUCCUCCUCCUCCUCGGGGAAAAACACCGUCCGAUUUCUUCUUCUCCUUGACGACGACGAUGUUAUCUCUCCUCCUCUUCCCCGAAACAAAGGUGCGAAAGAAAGAAACCCUAGGUUGAACGGCGACGCAGAUGGUCGAAGAUGAUGAUUCGAACGCACGGAACGGAGAUGAAGAUCUCGGUGGUAGUGGGGUUUACAUUACAUAUGGGGCUUGUUUGGUUCGCCCUUCUUUAUCUAGGACGGUUCGCUCUUUUAUUACCUAGCAAUCGAAGGAAUAGGCGAAUCCAUUUAAGUAUUUGAUAUACGAAAAUUAUAUUUCGAUUUCAAUUUUUUGGUCAAUGGAAAAUUUUCAAUCAUUGCUUUUUUUUUUUUCCAAUCCUGCAGUUUGAAUUCCAGCGGAAAAAGAUGCACUUUACAAAAAAAAAAGGAAAAAUAAAUAUCUCAAUUAUAUUUUAUAUUUUAUAUUUUAAAAUUAAAUUCAUUUUUUAACUUAAAUUUUUAAUUAAAAUAUACAUUUAAAUUUAGAAUUUAAAUUUUUAACUCUAAAUUUUGAUUUAAAAUUUAAAUUAAAGUAUAGCCAUUUUGAAUUUGAUCUAUAAAUUUAAAUUUAUAAGUUUGAAUUUGAAUCAAAUUAAAAAUUAGUUUUAUAUAUUUCAAUUUAGAUUGUUAUUCUGAACCAAAUAUAUUGAAAAGUUUUAUGGUUUCAUUUUUAAUUCAUGUCCGUUCCAAUUUAUGUUCUGACUUUAUUUUUCAUUUUGAACUGAAACAUUAUUAUUAUUAUGUAAAUUACAAUAGUGAUUCAAACUGUUUGGUUCAAGUAUAAAGAGAAGAAUAAGGACCUUAUUCCUCUCUUUAUUCCCAAAUAAAUUUUUUUUUUGUCAAUUCACCUCUUAACGGCUUAUCCUUUUACUUCGACCUCUCCUGAUAUUCCUACCAAAUUAAUAAUAAAAUAUAAUUUAAUUAAUGUAUUAUAUAUUUUUUUUUGCUAAUGAACUAGAUAAAUAAUUAACUGCUUAAUUUGUUACUCAAAUAAAUAUUUUAAUUAACUAUUUGAGUAAUUAAUUUAUUAUUUUAAUUAAUUUGCUAAUUAAAUAAUUAAUUAUUUAGUGUACUUAUUCAAUAAUUAGUAUUUAUAUUGAUUAAUUAAUUAAUAUUUUGACUAAUUUAACUAUCUGAUUGUUAUUAAUUAAUUAAAUAAUUAAUUUAUUAAAUUACUUGUGAUUAAAUAAAUAUUAAUCACGAAUUAAUUUAUUAAUUAAUAUUUAGGGUUAUUUGGCAAUAUUUAUGAUUAAUUAGUAAAUUAAAUAAGUUGAAUUAUUAUUUAAUUAAUAUUUUGCAGUAAUUAAUUAGGUAAAAUAUUAUAAUGUUAAAACUAUAAUUAUUCUUAUUCUUGUUAUUCUAAUCUAAAAUUAUCCAAACGUUAUUUUUUUUAUUUUCAAGAAAAAUAUAAUUUUCAUUCAAAUAUAAAAUUAAUUUUAUUUUAGCUUACUCCAAGAGUUGUACCUAUCUCAGGAAUAGUCUAAAAUAGCUUAUUACAAAUAAAAAAUGCCUUAAAAAAAAAACAACGGAGAGGGAAUAGGCUUACAUAGACAGGUGACGAUUAUCGGGCUGGGCUCACGUACUAGAGCCUUAUUGUUUAGAGGGUAAGGGCCCAUGCUAGCCCAUCUUGCUUUUUCUCUUCCCCCAAUUCACGUCCUCGUAUUUUUCAUUUAUUAGAUUAUGUUUGGUUCGAAUAUGACAGAAUUGCGGGCAAUAUGUAAGGAUUACUGUAUUUGAUUCAUUCGGUAUAUAAUCAGGUCAGUAAUGUAAUAUUACAAAUGAUACAAAAUUGAACCGAAAAUAUUAGGGGCUGUGUAUCUUGGAUUAUUGAAGGCGGCUAAUCUUAAAAUUAUAAGUUUACCCCUCCAACUAUCGAAAUCCUUUCAAUACGUUAUUUUAAACAUUUUAAUUUAAAAUUUUGAAUUGCCAACUUUUAAAAUUUAAAAUUUAAAAUUUUAAUUUUAAUUUUUUAUUUUCAAAUUUAAAUUUUUAAAUUUUAAAUUUUUAAACUUCAAAUUUCAAAAUUUCAAUAUUACAUUUUUAAUUUUUAAAUUUUAAAAUUUUAAACUUCAAAUUUCAAAUUUUAAUUUUUAAAUUUUAAAAAUAAAUUUUAAAUUUCAAAUUUAAAAUUUAAAAUUGACAAUUCAAAAUUUUAAAUUAAAAAUUUUAAAAUUUAAAAUUUUAGGUUCAAAUUUCAAAUUUCAAAUUUGUAUUUUAAAUUCCAAAUUUUAAAAUUAGAUUUUAAAAUUUAAAAUUUAAAUUUAAAUUUAUAUUUAAAUUUUAGAUUUUAAAUUUAUAAAUAUCAUUUCUAAAUUUUAGAUUUUAAAUUUAUAUUUCACAUUUAUAUUUUAAAUUAAAAUAUAAAAUUUUAUAUUUCUAUUAAAAUUUAAAAUUUUAAAAAUUUAAAUUAUUUAAAAUAAACUUUAGUAAAAAAAUUAUUUGUAAACAGUAAAAAAAAAAAAGUUUACAAAAUAUUNCGACUAAAGACAAUCUUAUAAUAGUCUAUAUUUUAUUGUUAAGAUUAUUAAAUUUUAUAAAUUGAACAAAGUAAUAAAAUAUUAUAUUAAAUCAAACGCGCUAAUACAGUAUCAAUAGUAAUUUUUUUUAGAAAUUCAAAAUAUUUAAAUAUAUCGAAAUACUUUAUAAUAUUAUAUAACUCGAACAAAAUGCAGUACUAUUGUUAUUCCAAUAAUAAUAAUAAUAAUAAUAACAGUCAAAAUAAUCCGGUUCCCAUAAAUAAACAUAAAUACAAACUGAUACUAGGGUCGAACCGGGACCUUAUCGUUAGCGCAAGCACGGGCCCAGGCAAUUUGAGUCCGAGUCUGUUUCGGCGGACCGCCCGUGGAGCGGAAGCGAGAGCGAGAGAGACGGAGAGAGACGGAGAGGAGCGGAGAGGAGAGGAGAGGAGAGGAGCCGCGGUUGAACCUGGAAAGCAGGGGCGAAGAGUUCUGCCGCGGUUGAUCGUGCUCCCUCUCUCCCGCGCGAUCUGUGUCCUGGGAUUUGGCAGUUGAAAAGGUCGAAUGGGUCGACCUCCGCAUGGCGGCGGCCCCGUCUUCCGAUUCACCUUCAACGAGGUAAACCCCUCCCCCCUACUCGUCUACUUUCCCGCAGUUUAGCUUCCCCGUAUCUAUCUAGGGCUGGUCGCUGUUUAGACUUUAUUUGGAUCCACCAAAUAUCUUAUUCCGCAUGUUUUCAUUAUUUACGUGAGAAGGUUGUACGAUUAGGCCGUGUUUGGACGUCGGAACAAGUAGAUAACUUAUUCGAUAUGAAAACUUUUCUAAUAUCAUUGUAAUUAAGAAGUUUGAUUUUUGUUCUUUAAAGGUUUUGUUAUCCAUAAUUUUGUCGAAUAGUAUAUUUGACCUAUAAAGUCAUAUAUCUUAUUCAAAAAGAUGAUUUGAAGACUGAAUAUGAUAUUUCAUUUUAAGCAUUUGAUCGCACUCUUUAUCUACAAAAUGUAUCUAUCAAAUGUAUAAAUUUCUUGAGUAAAUCAAGAGGAUAUACCAAACGAGAUAUUCAUACAUCCAAACAGGACCUUAGUAGAUGAGGAGCGUGGCCAAAUGUCUAAUGUGAAAAGCUAAUAUAUUUAGUAGACCAGGAGUGUGAUCAAAUGUCUAGAAUUAGAUACUAUAUUCGGCCUUCAUGUCAUCUUUUCGGAUAAGAUAAAUCAUUUUGUAGGUGAAAUAUACUAUUCUACCAAAUCAUGAAUAUCAAGAUCUUCCAAGGAGCAAAAAUUCAACUUUUUUUUUACAAUACAAGCAAGGCCUUUUUGUUCUUGCGUCCGGUUUUUCAUUGGAUUUCUAAAGUUCUCGCUUUAGGAUAUUGACCAGUUUUUCAUUGGAUUUUCCAAUAUAAACACAAUAAGUUUCAUUUUUAGUUACGCGUCCUUCAUUUUCCAUUGGAAGUUGAUAUUUUCUCCCCAUAAAAUAUGAGAGAGAGAGAGAGAGAGAGAGAGAGAGAGAGACAUUCCUUUUUUACUCUUUAUCACCUUACAACACUAUGUAACGUAGGUAAUCUGGAACUGUUCUCGCGCGCUUUUCCAUGUUUGUGUUUUUGCUGAGACUGCCUCAGACAGACCAGACGCCUGAGCCGUCUCUCAUCUUGCCAAAUGUGUCCAAGUUAAGAAUUCAUAAAAUUUCCUGUAUUGUUGUGUUGUUCGGCAUGAAUUUGGUCGGACCCGUUUGGAACUCAGCUAAGCAGAUCCAUUUAAGCUCUAUGUGGACUUAGUACAGUGUGUAUAACACUGACAUAAUUACCACGAGUAAGAUACUGCUGCUAUUAUAAUCUGUAUAACACAAGUUUAUCUAGUAAGUCCUAUUUUUAGGUUGUUGAGAUGGAAGCACGCCUGGAGGAGGUAAAUAAUGCUAUACCUGCUCGUCAUGUUAUAUGUGCCCUUGCAGAGAAGUUCAGGUAUGUGCUAACAUCUAGCUUAUCUGCGGUCACCUUCUGCUUUUUCAAUAUCUUUAGUAUUUUAAGACUUAAUACUAAUGAGCAUCAUCUGCCUUAAGUGCAUCUCCUGAACGAGCAGGAAAGAUUGCCGUCCAGCCAAAGCAGGUACAAGCUUGCCAAUUCCCUAUAGCAAGAACAAACCCCUUUGGAAACUUCCGCUCAUUCUCAAUGUUGUUGCAGGUGUGGAACUGGUUUCAAAAUCGUAGAUAUGCACAAAGAGCCAAAUCUACUAAGGCGUCUGCAAAGCUGACUGUCUCACCUAUGGCCCAGGAUGAUUUACCUUCAAUCAGAAAUGUUGUUCCUCCUGUUCCUGUUCCUACUGGUGCAUAUCGUACACUUGAUUAAUUUAUCAAUAUCAGGAUAAUACUCAUUGACGUUUCCUUCAUGACAAGCUAUUCUUACUUUGUGAUAUGCUGCUUAAUGCUUUAUCCAUGUUUGAAAUUUAUUUCACCCAAUAUUUUGUAGUUAUGGGUGACCCUCUCAGGUUUGGUGCAGUCUGUUUAGGAAGGGUCUAGUUGGUUCUGGGUGGGGCUAGUGUGAAUUCAAACUAGUUUGGGCUGAUUCAAUUUUCUGUAAAUUUGCAUUAGAUUCGGCCUUUUUGUUUGCCGGUGUGAUUUGGCCUAACUUAUGGACAUGCUGAGGGUUCUAUGUUCGCUGUUGGAUUAUAUAGCUUUCUUUUUUUUUGGGUACAAUCUUCGGUUUUGAAGUUCUCUUUCAAUGAAAAGGUUUCAACUCUUGAGAAGAAGAGGACGAAGUUACAAGAGGAGGGGCACUUAUAAGGAGGCAAUCAUUUUAACAUCUGUAAAUAGCUGUGACCCGCUUGAGAAUCCAUCAAGAUUCUCAAAUUUUUUUUGUUACAUUGAUUGUUUUGUUCUUCUAGGAGAUCUUUGUUUCUUUUGCUUCGAGGGAAAAUCUGCUUAUUGAUGUUCAUUUGACAACUUUUUAAGUUACCAAUGGUACUCAAGUUUUCCUCCUCUUCUGUUAGUUUCUGAAUUUUGUUUUUACUUCCCCUUUGUUCUUGAGACACUGUAGCCAUAUCAUCAACCAACAGAAAUUGUUGUUAAUUUGUUGAUUGUUGAUUUGCAGCGUUUGCUGUUUUCCUUUGUGCCUAAAAUCACCUAUUUUUAAGUCCUUGGGUUCUAUUGCUCUCUAACUUAUUGUUAAGCAUCUUUGAGACUUUUGUGAUUCGUAACCAUCAAAUGCAGGAAGAAAUUCUCUGGAGAAUGGCCAAAUGGAAUUUGAAGCGAAGUCCGCUAGAGAUGGGGCAUGGUAAGUAGUCAAUUUAUGUGUGAUGUUUUGUCUAAGUGAUGAUGUUGUGUCUAAGUGAUCAUCAGAUAAUACCUUCUUCCUCCUUUCAUUGAUAGAUCAAGAAAAAAUUAGUCAUCAUCUAUGCCUUCUUCUAUGCUCAAUCUUCCCUUCACAAAUAUUGAAGGCACAUGUUUGCAAGAGCAUAACAGUCAUUUUGGCAGACAACUCUCAACCUUUAUUUGUAAACUAAUGGUAGUCAUAUUUUGGGAUCAUGUUACAAAUUUGUAACAUUUAGGGCUUGUUUGGUUCAAGGGUGGAAUUGGAAUGGAUAAUAGAAUGGGAAUGAAUUGGAAUGAUAAUUGGAAUGACCCACUCCCCCAAGACGUUUGGUUUAUUUAUGGAUUGGAAAUUAGAAUGAGUUAUUCAAAUUUCAUUGUUUGGUUCAUAUAAACUAAAAAAAUUAUAGAAUACUAUAAUAGUAAUUUUACUCUCAAAUAUAAAUUUAUAUUAUUUAAAAUUUAUGAAAAAUAUAAUACUAUUCUCUAAUAAGUUUUCCAAAAAAAAUAUCAAAUUUAUUUUUAAAAACUUUUAUUGAUGUGGGUUAGGGAUAGGGUUUUGAGAGAUGAUAGGUUUUUUUUUUUUUUUUGAUGAGAAAGGGGUGAAGAGAAGGAGGGUGAGAUGGUCACAUGGGCUUUGGGCUUCCGGAAUGAAAUCUCAAUCCGGGCUAGAAGACCGGAAUCAAGUUGAAGGCUAAUGGGCCAUUCCCAUUCCAGUCCGGAAUAGGAAUUCCAAACCGAUUCAUACAAACCAAACAAAAUUAACCGGAUUUGAUCAAACCGAUUCCCAUUUCAUACCCAAAAUAGAUGAACCAAACAAGCCCUUAGAGGGAUAUAUUUUAUAAUAUAACUUUGGAGGGACAAUGUGCAAUUUUAAUGGAUUGGCCCUUUAAAUUGAACCUUGAACUUUGCUGAAUGUAACCGACGAAACUGGAGCUGAGAGCUCUUCCCCUCAUAAAAAAUGCUUUUGAUUCCCUUAACCUCAAGUAUGCAACCUAGCUUUUUUGCCACCAAAAUGUUAUCAGUUGAGCUUGGCCAACUGAAAGGGGCUUUUCAAUCUACCUUCUGUGAGCUUCUUAGAAUAGUGAAUCCAAGGCAGCUAGGUAUGAGUUGAUACGGUGCUAAAAUAUAAAGUAGGAGUUGUAAAGUGCUAAGUUUUAAGUGCUCUAACUAUUUUUAGAUGUCUAUUUCUGUGGAGUAGCCUCUUUGCCUGAUUUUGUAACGUUAGGUUCUGGCCAAUAGCAACAGGAACUAUCUGUUUUGCUUUAAAACCUUUUCUUUGCAUGUAACAGAAUAUUUCAGCAUUAUUCUGAUUAUCCUCUCUAUGUUUGCUUAUAGAUAUGACGCUACUAUAUGGCAGCUAUUCUUUUCUGUCUUCUGCUGCUUUAUAUUUGAUCUAAUUUUGCUUUGAUAUACAGGUAUGAUGUUCAAGCAUUUCUUUCACAUAGGAUGUUUGAAAUAGGUGAUCCGGUAAUGAUACAUAUUCUCUGUUUCUAACUCCAUGUGCAUCAGCUUAUGCAUGUCUUACUCAAUUCAUGUGCUUUUGAAGUCGAGAGAAAAGAUGCAUUCUACUAGUUAAUUUCAUUUGUAAUUUUCUAUUAUUUGCAUGCAUCAGGAAGUUCGAGUUCGUUUUCAAGGGUUUGGUAUGGAAGAGGAUGAAUGGGUUAAUGUGCGCAGGUGUGUCAGACAGAGGUCUCUUCCUUGUGAAGCUGCAGAAUGUGUUGCUGUACUUCAGGGUGACCUCAUACUUUGUUUUCAGGUGCUGUCAGGUUACCAGGAUUCUGCUUUUAAAGUUUAAUAUUUGUUUCCCUUUUCUUGUGUGUCUAAAGCCUAUAGAUGUUUGUACAAAAUGCCUAAACAUUCUUGUGCUCAAUUGAGAGAUCUGGCCUUAUUCAUUGGGCAGCUACUUUAAAGACAUUCUUGUGCUCAAUCAAAAGAUCUGGCCAUAUUCAUCCAGCGAUUAAGACGCUUUUUAAAUAUUCCUUUCUGCUGCUGGAAUUCACUUCGACCUUCCUUAUUCAACAGCAUUCUCUAGCCAGCUAAAAUCUACAUGUAAAAUUGUGGAAAUAAAAUUUAAAUGCUUUUGUCAUCAAUGCAAUUUCCUAGCAUGAGACAGAUUUAUUACAAUAAUGCUUUUAAAUGAAAGUAGUUGAAGAAACAGAAUAGAAUUUUUUUGGAUUAUCUGUUGAAACCUUAAAAGGAUAAUGUGGUACAUCUGAAUUAGUGCUAUGCAUUUUCACGACGUAGUUUGUAACUAGGAUUUUUCAGCGUAAUGUUUAUAGCUAAGAAUUUUUAGCGUAAUUUUCUGGAGUCAUUCACGAACCUGAAUACACUGCUUUUUAAUAACUUUAUGUAUUUUUGGUGAAAAUUUGAAUAAUCAUUGGGUUAUGGGCCAAGUCCAAAAUAUGCAAGGCUAGUUUUCCCUCAGUUUGCAACUUCUAGUUAAAUAAUACUUUAGAGGUGUUAUAUCAUGAUAUGAAAAAUUUGGUGACAAUAUCUCUAUUGUUAGUAUUGUGAUCUCAAAUCUAUUGCUUUACUGUUCCAAGAAAGUGCAAAAUGUGCAAUUAUUAAGUAUGCUUGAGGUGGUGGUUAAUCUCUCUCCUCCUUUCUCUAUUUCUUUGUUGUUAGUGUUGUGAUCUCAAAUGCUAGUUGCUUGAGCGUUGGUUGAUCUCUCUCUCUCUCUCUCUCUCUCUCUCUCUCUCUUCUAUCCUCUCCUUUUCGCCCUUUUUAGGCUCUAUUGUCAACACAAAGACAUUUUGUUUAUUUUAUUUCUGUGACCCCAUUUACUCGAUUCAACAAUGAAUAUUAGUGGAUUUGCAUUUUUUUCCUUUUUCUUCCUUCAGCAGAAUUUUGGAUCUUCCAUAAGUUUUCAUGCCAUUUACGCAAGUUGUGUGCCAUGAAUAAAUUGCCUUUGGGACAGUUAUGAUGAAUAUCAAAUUUGGAUACAUGACUUGGCCAAUAUACGUGGUCAAUAUUGUUGGGUCGUUUGUCUUCAUUCAUUAUACUUGUUCACAGUCCCCUGGCCUGUUACACAGACCAACCAGCUAGUGGCUAUCUGAUAGUUGUUCAGCUUGCUGAUUAUGCUAAAAUUUCUUACUUGGGUUUGAGAUAACAUCUUUGACCAGUCUCCUUUUGAAUAUACUAGAGUUAACUGUAAGAUUUUUGAGUAAAGUUGAGAAGUUCCUUUACCAUGAUUGUUCGAUCAUUAUGGCUGUCUUGCAUGGACUUGGUUUUCUAUUCUUGGUAGUUUCAACUUUUGACUUAUGCCAUCUUAAUUAUAGUGGUUCAAAAUUUCAAAUAAUGUAAGCUGCUGUUUAUUGUAGGAGUAGUAACCCAAAGUAUCUUUUAGAUUAGAGGUACCAGAUAUAAAGCACUCUGUUGCUUCAUUAUUACAUUCCUAAAGUUUAAAGAUUUCUAGAUUAUUUUUAUUGGAAUUAAACUCAAAUGUUUUGUUUUGUGUUUUCAGGAAGGUAAAGAGCAGGCUCUUUAUUUCGAUGCCCAUGUCCUUGAUGCACAAAGGCGUAGACAUGAUUUACGAGGAUGUCGAUGUAGAUUUUUGGUCCGUUAUGAUCAUGAUCAGUCUGAGGUACUUAGGAAAUUUCUGUUAGUAUAAAUCCUCUUCUCCUCUGUUAUAUGCAUGCAUGAAGUUGCAAACUGUUCUAGAUUACAAAGUUACACAAUAAUCACCAAGUAGCAUUCCCAAUCUGAGAAUAUGUUUCUCAAGGGCUUUUCCCUCAUGUAACAAUUCGUGUGUCAAGUAGGACAGUUGGAUCUUCGUAAGUCGCUCUACCUGUGGAUUGGCCUUAUAUGUCCAGUGCUGAAGGUGUAGCAAUUGCAGCGAUAAAUUUCUCUAGGGUGGGACUGUAGGAAGUAACUUAACAAGUGAUUACUUUUGUAGCUACUUGUUAUAAAGGUUAAGCUUGCAUUUAGCACUUGCUGAUAUCCGUGUGGACUGUUCAUUUUGCUCUGCUUGCAUCAAAAUAGAACAAUGUCCUUUUUCUGGGUUGAGGAUAAAUUGCAAUUAAUUCCACACAAGUCAUCAUUUUCAGUUUAGAGAAAAAGGGGAUUUGCUAUCAAAUACAAUUUUGUUCCACUACUUGAGUCAUUUUUGCACAGAUGGCUUUAGCAUAAUGGUUUAUAGCAUAUGUAGAUGUGUUCUUAGCCUUUCCAAAGAACUUACUCUGCUGCAAGUCAUUUUUUUCUUAAGCCACGAAAUACGGGAUUGCGUUGUUGUUGUCAGAGUUUUUCCAAGAUUGUCAUGUCAAAAUGUUAUAUAGAAAAUAAACAACAGUACUCACUGCUUCAAGUUUACAGACACAGUAGCCAAGUUGCCAUCAAAUAUCCUUUUUUUUUCCCUUGUUUUUUUGAAGAAAAUUUUAAUCAUGAGUGAUGCUACUGUCUGAAAGCAGGAAAUAGUGCCACUGAGAAAGGUAUGUAGGCGGCCGGAAACUGAUUACAGGCUACAGAUACUGCAAGCAUCAAGAGGAGCGUCAGGAGCUAUGGAUCAACGGGCUAUGGUGAAAGCUCCAACAAGCAUACCCAAGGAUAUCAAUCCUAUUGUCACAAAUAGGACUAAUCUGAAGCAGCAGAAACUGAUGGAUGUUAACACUGAUGAGGUGCUAACAGUCCUUCCUGCUGCUGUACCAAACACGGACACAAACACGAAGGAGGAGCCUACUAUCGGGGGUGAUCAAUUUGCCUACACCUCUCCGAUCCCCCCACACACGGUUAGUCAUAGCAAUAGUACCAUUCCAGAUGUAACCAUGGGCGACGCUGUGCCUCCAGGGAACUCUACAAAUUCUGAUUACCCACAAGAAGGAAACGUUGAAGUGUGAAUGUGCUUUCUUGAUUGCUGCAUUGUACUUUAUCACUGUCUAUUAAACUGUUUGGGAAUUAUGAAAAGCUUGAAUUGCUCAAACACAUUUGCAGUGGAGAGUAUCAUUUGAUACUGGUCUCUAUUUGAUGCAUCUAUUUGUUUGGUUGGGAGAUGAAAGGAUUAGUUAGCAGUAUUCCCUCUACCCUUCGGAGCAGAUAUAAAGAAAAACAGUUUUUGUUGGCAGUUAUUUCUGGUACCCAUGUAAUGAAUUUCUUGAAUCAUGUAAAUGUAGGUUAUUUUGGUGGUGCAUAUGUAAUGGAUUCUUUGGAUCACAUAAAAUUAGCGUCACAGCUUGCAUGCCAGUUGGGAUGUAUUUUGGGCCGUGCACCGCUGGCACGCCCACAUUUUUUGGGGGCCCGGUCUUGCCCGGUUGUGCAGCGCCGGAUCAGAUUUUGUGGACUUGUGGCCCAGCAUGGACCUUGGCCGGACCGGAUUUUGUGGAUGUGUGGCCCAGCAUCGACCUUGGACAGAUGGCACGGGCCGGGGCUGGUUCCGUGUGGGCCUAGUAUUUUGUUUAUUUUUUAGAUUUAAAUUUUUUAUAUCUAGAAGUUUUAAAAUAUAUAGAUACUUUUAACUAUUAGAGGGGUAUUGUAGGUCAAAAAAAAAUAAUUUUAAUUUUUUUGAAAAAAAAUUAAAAAGUUUUUGGGAAAAAAAAAUCAAAUUUUAAAGAUCAUUUGAAUAAUAUUUUAAAAUUUUGAUAAAUUUUUAUAAAAUUAUUUGGAUUGAAUUUUUUUUUUUUUAAUAAAAAAUCUGGUGCAUGAGAAAUCUGGUGAUUGGUGUGAAGGAAGAAAAAGACAGUUCAAUUAGACAAUAAAGAAAGGUGCGUAAAAGGAUCAACGAAAAUUAAUUAAUUAAUUAAUUAGGCUCUAUAUAUCUACUCGAUAUAUUUAAUCAAUCGCUCGAAUGACCACCGAACUAAAUACAAAAGGGAGGAUUCAUUGUACAAUGUCAUCGCUUCCAAACGACCCAGUCGAUUGCCGACCAUCAUCGGUGGUGGAGUGCUCACGUACGAAGGAUUACGAGCGCGAAAAUGUCAAAGCAUGCAUGCACGUGUGAAGAACCUAGCUUAUUACAAUUACUUAAUUUCGUUGAUUGACGUCCUUGCUAUUGGCAAUGUUUGAAAGCCAAUAGGCUGCAGACAAGUACGUAUGCCGUGUGCAGAAAAUUAAAGAUGUGACUCGGAGUGUCCACCUGCGUAGAAUCUACCUUCUAUCGUGUAUAUCCAUGCCAUAUGAUAUGAUCUGCAAAAUAAGCCUUACAACAUUUAAACAGAAAACAAUGAAAGAGAAAUUACUACGUACCUUCCUGGUCCACCUGCAGGCCAGCCAUGGACUGCAGGUUUUCUCCGACCAACUUUUCGAAAAGGAAAAAAAACAAAAAAUAAUUGAAGAAAUUAAAGAAUGUAAAUUAUUAAUAAGUGAUUCAAACCGAUUUGCAGUUGAAAUGCGAUGGAGGAAGAUUGUAUGGGCAGUCCACGCCCCAAAAGGCGAAUCAAAUUAGCCGUAUAUAUAUAUAUAUAUAUAUAUGCUACAAAGUUGGAUCAGAUAAUUGCUUACAUGUACACCCCUGAUCAAAACUUAGAAAAUAUCUUAUUUAUUUCUAAAAAAAAUUGUUUAAAAAAUAUACCAACAAGCUUUCUUUGUUAGUAUUUGUUACUCAAAUCUAUGCUCACUAUUAAUUAGCACAUAUUAGUUCAUCGAUCUCGACUGAAAUACUAGCUAUUUUUGCCUCUUUAUAUUUAAUCCAUUUUACUAGUCAAGGAAGAAGAAGCUUCAACUUCUUUUCGCCGUAGUCGAAGAAGAUGAAGCUUCAUUUUCUUUCAACUUGCAAAAGAAAAUGACAAUUGUAAGGGCAAAUAAAAAAAGGAGAUUAUUUAAAAAUAAAUAAAAAAGUAGAAAAUUAUUUAAGGACAAAUAAGAAAAGUAUAAGAGACUGUUAAGAACAAAUUAGAAAGGUAAGUGAUAGUAGAAAGUGUUAAAUAUAAAAUUAUUUAAACACUGUUCUCGAUCUAUAAGCUUAAAUUUUUUGAGCAUAACGAUUGUUUUUAAAUAUAAAAAUAUUUAAACACCAUUUUUUUCACAAACUGAGGCUUAGAGAAUAACAGUUAUUUCACGUGGUAUUAGAGUAAGAAAUUCUGAGUUCAAUUCACACCAGGCUUCUAAAAUUAUUAAUUUUUUCUCAAUUAAUUCAAGUCCACCUACGUCAUGGACCUAUAAAAAGUCUCGAGCGCAGAUAUGAAGGAUAGUGUUAAAUAUAAAAAUAUUUAAACACCAUUCUCUAUAAGCUUAAAUUUUUAGAAUACAAUGGUUAUUUCAUGUAAAGUAAAUUUAAAUAGGCAAAUAGGCAUUUCACAUGCAGAAAAUAAUGAUUGUUUUUAAUGGCGCACUAACGGAAUGUGACUCUUAAGGAUAUACUUGAAAGAGUUUGGAACUUUGUAGGAAUUUGUUUUAGAAUAAUAAAAAUUUAAAAGAAUAAUUUUCAUAUUAGCCUUCUUAAAAAAAUAAAUAUAAAAGUAAAAAACCUUUAUAGGGACGUUCAAGCAGCUGCCCCCCAAAAGUAGAGCAUUAGAUUUAACAGUAGCUGGUUGGUUCACAUGUUAAAGUAGAAGCUGAUUGUUUAGAUAAUAUAUGUUCACAACAACCGACUAAUCUUUUUUUAAGAAAAGGCAUUUGUUUAUAUACCCGAUACUACUAUUAAAAAAUUUUAAAUUUAUUUCUAAAUAUUCAAAAUAUUCUUUUAAAUUCCAAUUCCAUUGCGUAGAAUUAGUUGGAGUACAAAGCAAUUGAAUUGGGUGGUCGUGAGAAUUAAAAAGAUUAUCUUUAGAGUGCGAUGCGAUCUAUUAUAUACAGCAGGGUAGUUUAAGAUGACAAUGGUUACAGCUGUAUUUAAUUUUCAACGUCCUGCAAUUAGCAGAAAAAGUGAAACUGGGCAUUGCUGGCACAUGAAAUUAAGCUUGCAGAUGCAUAUAUAUGGGUAGGAAUACUCGUUAACUAUUUGCGCGAGAAACUCCAUUUCCGUAUGUAUAGUUUGGUAACAUAAUAAUUAAAAGUAUUAUAUAUUAUCAUAAUAAAAAUAUUUUAAAAUAAAACACUUUUAAUUUUCAGUGACAUGUUUAAUUUUUACAGUAACGGUUCAACCAUACUUUUUUAAAUAUAAAACAAGUAAAGAGAAGUAGUCUUAAAUUUUGGAGUAUUUUAUAAUAUAAAUAUCGUAUUUUUAAAGGAUAAACAAAGCAAAAUCGGCUGAUGAAGUACUACAAAAAAAAAAAGAAAAAAAAGAAUUGUACAUAACCUAAAUCAUAAAUAUAAUUAAGCCCGUUCUGUUCGCAGCUAUGGUGCGGCGCUAUAACCCGGCUAGCUCAGUUACAAAAAUUUAACCUGCAAAGUAGAGAUAUUUUAUGUAUCCGGAUCCAUGCACAAUCUAUUUGCCGGGUCUGAAAAUUUUGCCGCACCGUACCCCUUCGCUAGCAGGUUGGGCUCGGAUCCAGUAGUUAGCUAGUCAACUAUAGUGCUCACCCGGUUCGGCAAAAACGAAUUCAGAUAGCCUAGCUAGAUUAUUUCAGACAGACUCUUGAUUAAAAAUAUUAUUAAAUAUAAAAAAUUGUGUUUAAUUAUCAACGAGCCUCGAGUCUGGACGUGAAAGGUAUUAGCCAGUGUCGAAUGUAAAAUAUUCAAAAUAUCGUUUUCGAAUAGUUUAACUUUUUGAAGAUAAACAAUAAUUUCACAUAAUUUAGCAAAUAUCUUAAUUUGCCUGGGGUUUGACAAAAUUAUCAUACUGACAUUUGAAUUAAGUAGUGCUGACUACAGCAUUACUGUAGCUCAAUUAAUUAAUUGGCUUUCGAUUUUUAAUUAAAAUUAAGGAAAUUAAAGACCAAUCAUGUAGCCUACGGCCGGGAAGACUUCAGUAGUUAGCCACACGACUUUAAUUAGCUAGACUAGACUAGAUAUUCUUUUUGUUUUGCCAACUUGAAUUAUUAGAUAAUUUUACCCCACGAGUUAAAAAGGGUUAUAUAUUCAUGGAACCACGCAUACAUGCAAGAUCUUUUGCAAGAGAUGAUUUUUGUUUUUGUUGCUAAUUAAGACACGACCGUCGUGAGUCGUGCAAGGAAACCACACGGUAUCAGCUGAAGAUGGAGGGGGUACUGUUGAGAUUUUGCUCUUAAUUUGUAAUAACAAUAACAAUAUAUAUAUAUAGUUUAUUAAUUAGUCCAUGAUUUGGUUGCCUUAAUAAAUUAAGAUUCCAAAAUGGAUGGGUGAUUCACACCUUUUAAUCAGUCAUAUAGAAACUACAACACGCACACACGUGGCUCCGUGCGAGGUUUUGGGAUACACUUGUCGUGCGUGACCCAAACUGCGUGAUGUGGCUGGGGCCCGCCCGGGAGUCUAAAUCUGUGGGCACAAGGAAACGCAGAGGCCACGUCCAGCACCGCAGAAAUCCCGGCAUCAAUUGCAGAAAAUUAAAGCACGUGGGCAGAUCUGCGCGCGCAACACGUGGCCGUAUCCGAUCUCCAUUUUCUCGCGGUUGUUAAUUUGAUUCUUUGACUGCAACUUCUGUAUAUAAUAUAUGUGGUUGCAAAUAGAAGAUUUGCUCAAUCAGUACAUAAGUAUGAAUGUACUGAGCCUAUAUAUGUGCGGUCUUCGACGACUUGCCCGCCACACCACGUGGACUAUGCUUGCUGAUUCUUGAUAUGAUCCGAAAUCGCAAGAACCAUAUAUGCACGCACGCGCAUACAUCAUAUAUACUAUUAUUUAUUUAUAUAUGGUUGAUCUGUACGUAUCAUGUGCCCUGGGACACUUGGCAGUUCCAGAUUUUUACUGCAUGCCAAAGUAAGCAGACAAUUUAUUCCGCAACUUUGCUUUCUCCACGACUUUUCCAGCUCAAGAGAGUUGAAGAGUAAGAGCCGAAUUAAUCGUGCGCGGGGCCGCGGGCCAAUAAUAAAUAUAAAUAAAUAAAUAAAUAAAUAAAUAAAUAAAUAUAUAUAUAUAUAUAUAUAUAUAUAUAUAUAUAUAUAUAUAUAUAUUGUAGUAGAUCGAGGACGUCGUAUAUCAUGUAUACGUGUGGGGUUGGGACGAUAUCUAAUAAUUAUUUUUAAUUCCCUCCGAGCUCAAGAUUUUCGAUCCCCAACUCGAUCGCGCGGUACGUAGCUAGGGAUCGAGCUGGUGCUCCUUCAAGCCGCGCGCGCUCAGCUCACUUUGCCAGCUCAUUAAAAUUUUGCUAGUCCAACACGAUCAAGCUGCUCGUGUGACCGGGCUCGUUGUACCAAUUGUCUUGACGGCUAGGCGUCGUUAUGUAGUACAUUACUAAUUUCUUUUUUUAAAAAACUUAAAACGCACGUUAAUAAGAAAUGCGGAUAAAACUGAGUAACUAUAUAUGCUCAAGUAUGGAAUGUGCGGAAUGUCAUUUUGUAAUAAACAAUUAAUGCUAGUGCCCUAGCCAAAAAUUGGUUAUAAUUUUAUAACUCUAUCGUCCAAUUAAUAAUCCAUACUUUCUACUAUAGAGUCUUAUCAUCUUCUCUCUUUUGUUUAUUCUUAAAAAUCCAAAAAUAAUUUCUUAAAUCUGAACCAAGUAAGAUUACAAUACUUGGAUUAAGAAUUGCAGCACUAUUAGUUUACAACCCAGAAGGGUUUGUAGACUUAGCAUUUCUCUUUUAGAAUAUGAUAACACGAAAAAGAAAUAAACUAAAAGGGACGAAACAGUACCUGACAGACUUAAUAUAAAAACAAAAAUAUACAAUUUUCAUCAAAUUUUCUACACUGUUAGGCUUAACAAAGUCAAGCAUGAGUAAGUUAAAUUGUUAGAUGUUCGCAAAUUCUUGAACCACAAGAGUUUCGAAUCUAAUAUAUAUUGGUUAUUUUAUUUAGUUAAGUUAAAGUUAUUGUCAAUUUUAUUGAAUUUUAUUUUAAAUUUUAUUAAAGAUUUAACUAUUAAUAUAUAUAAAUAUUUCAUUUAUCUUGUACAUAAAAUAUGACAGAUGAGAGAGAGUAUGUGGUAUAUUUUAAGACUAAUUAAGGUAUUGUGAGAAAAGCAUCCUUUUGUAUCCCUUGGGUUGUAAUUAAAUUCUUUACUCGGCCUUCACCCGUGUAAUUAAGUACGUAGAUUAGUUGUCAAUCCAAGUAAAUUAUUAUUUGUGUAUUUUAUUUUUCUACUUUUUUUUUUAUUAUUUAUCAGUAAUCUCAUAUGUAGAUGCACUAGAUAUUUUCCGUAUUUGUCGUAACAUAAAUUAUAUCUAAUUAUGUUGUGGUUGCUUGUGGAUUUAGCGAGUGGAGCAAGUAAGCUUUUGUUGAUCCAUGUUUUUUGAGAGAUUGUUGAGCCAAGUUGAUCGAAGAUUGGCGCCGUUGAGCCAAGUUGACAAUUUAACGGCUGGGGGCGCGGGGUUAACUAAGUACAUAUAUAAAUCUGCAUCCUUCUUCAUAAGAAAUUAAGGGCAUGGAAAAUAUCCCUUGCUGAAAAAGAAAAUGGCGCCGAUCCAUCAGAGGCCGGGGUUGAUUAAUUGUUUGCUGGCAUUUCAGACAUCAAAAAAUCCACAAUGGUGGUAACACGUGGCCCAGCCCGGCCGCCGAAGACUAUCUAGGAAACUACCAAAAUCCAACCUUUGAUUCGGUAUCAGUUCUAGCUAGCUUCCGCCGCAGUAAUAAUAAUAAUAAUAAUAAUAAUAAUAAUAAUAAUAAUAAUAAUAAUAAUAAUAAUAAUAUAGCUUGAUUGUCAUGAGCGACCAGCUAAUCGAACUUAAUUUGACGGCAGAAUUUGUAGAGAGUUUACAUGCAGCUACAUCGAUCUGUACAGCAGCAGCCGGCUGCUAUAAUUCAAGAUGUUUAAUUAAUUUAUUGGUGGAUCGAUCGAUUGAUGUAUGCAUAUCCGUCACCAUAGGUUGAAGUUUUAUGUGCAUGGUUGGAACAAUUAAUAUUAACGCAGGCAUGCCGCGAAAUUUCAACCAAAAGUAGGAGCACCUACGUAUCUCGAUGGACACGUGGCUUAUUUGACUAACUAGCUAGCUAGGUGCGUUUGGCCGACCUUCAAUAUUCGGUGCUGCGGCUGGGGGAGGAGUUCCCCAGAGGAAUGACGCCGCCAUGCAUAUAUAUUAAUUCAUGUCUGCCGCUGUAAUUGCUUGAAUUGAGAGCUACAUAUAUUCGAAAAGGUUGCACUUGCACCCCGCCCAGGAGUGCAAGCACCACGUACGUACUCCGUCGGGAUCGAGAACUAUAUAUAUGUGCCAUUGACUAGAAACAUAGGAAUUGAACCACAAAUUAAUGUGGGGUCUAACACGCACCCAUUCCAUCCCUUAGGAAGCAAGCAUGCAUGGGCCCAUCUAUAUACAAUAUAUAUAUAUAUACACGUACGUUCGUUCGUUCAUACGUUGCAUCUUCAUCCCAUGGCUCCGAAGCUAUCCAGCUGUCGAUCGGUUGUCCCUUUAGAUCUAAUAAUUAGGACGUCGGUUGCUGCACGGAACGUCGCAAGGCCAUUUACAUGCAUGAUACACAGAUUCUGUACGUAACUCGACUUGCAUGUUCAUGUAUAAGUAGCCGAGCGGUCAAAAUAAGUGCAUUUCGUAUAUUUGACAAUUAGGACCCCUACAUAUAGCACGUCUGUACAUUCUAACAGCCUAGCUAACAGGCUAAUCGCUGAUACGUUAAUACCAGCUGCAAGCUGUUCGAUCGAUCUGCUGACUAAUUUAUUGGACGUACAAUUAAGCCCUGAUCGACAUGGACAUUCAUUCAUUCAUUCAUUCAUUACCCUCGCUAGAUUAAUUGGUGAAAAUUCUACAAGCAAUAUUCCAGCAUAUAUAUAGUUAUGAUAAAUACUGACGCUUACAAUUCAAAAGGACAUGAAAUUAAUCUUAUAAGCCACCAUCUUAAUGUUAAACAACAGUGAUAUAAUUAGUGUAGAGAAAUUAAUUAGCCUUUAAAUGAUAAACCUGAAGAAUUGCAAUCCAAAAAGAAUUAUAGAGGUAGCGUUGCCUUCUAGUUAUUGCUGGUAGGUAGGAGCAAGCUUAGCUAGCUAACUAGUUAUCAAAUUGGAAACCCAAGAAAACUAAUAAAUGUUGUCUUUUGAAUUCAAAUGAAGUGUGAUCAAAUCCACAGUAUGUUGAAGUUCAGAAAUGAAGGUUCUCGUUUUUUUUUUCGGUGCAUAAAAUUAAUUUGAAAAGAGAGAAUUGGCACUUAACCAUUUGUGACAAAUUCUUUUAGCAUUAUUUCAUUACGAUAAUUGCUAUCCUUUAUGAGCAUAAAUAUUAAAAAUACGUACCAUUAUCUGAAAGUUUUAUUUCACAUAAUUUAAUAUCCUCCUAAAAAAUUAUCGCAAAUAUCCAAAAAAAAAAAAAAAAACUUCAUAUCAACACAGCAACACAAUUAAUGAGUUGUAAAAUCAAAUAAUGGGCACAUUACCUCUCUUUUGAAAAUUUCUCUUACUUAUUAGUUGUUUCGAAUAAUUAAAUAUCCUACUGCAGCCUUUCCUUUCAUACAGUCCUUAUUUCUUUUUAUAAAACUAUAAAAAAAAAAUGAUUCUACUAAUGAUUAUUUUUACCGACCGUCCCUAGAGUAAAUGGCAAAAGGCUUGGUGGUUGGUAUCCGAGGUUUCAAGUUCAAAUCCUAGUUGAUUCACAUUUCUGGCUAAGUUUAUUUCUAAUUGAAAUAAACGAAGCGGGUAGCGUGCUUUCUAUCUCUAAAAAAAAAAACUAAUGAUUAUCUCUCUGUCCGAAUUUAAUAGAUUUAGGUGAACGGCACACUAACUAUAUAUUAAAGAUUCCAAUCUAAUCUUAUAUCUCACUUUCUGUUUCCAUCAACAUCCCUGCUAUCAAUACGAAAGUAUGGUUCAACGAGCGAGUUAUGAGUUUGAAUUCAAAGUGACAUCUCAUAAAUUGAAUGAAACUUACGAAAUAGUUUGUUGGUGUACUAUUAGUCGCCUAAACCAUCGUUUUGGCUUGCAAGAACAAGUUUACACUAACAAUCUUACAUGCCUAUUUAUAACUUGUUGGACAACAUAAAAUCUGCUGCAUGUUCGAUAUAUAGUUUACUUUUUAAAAAAAAAAAAGAAAAAACUAAACUAAAGCUAUAAUAGAUAGAAUCAUUUCUUAUUUUAUCGAAUAUAAUCCUACUAAUUUUAACGUUGAAGACCGAUAGAAGGAAUUGUCAAAUUAAAAUAGUCCUCCAAUAGAAGGAAUUGUCAAAUUAAAAUAGUCCUCCAAUAGAAGGAAUUGUAAAAAUUGUCCUCCAUGCGUAUCUAGCAGAAACGACAAAAACAACUUUUGCGACAGUGUUGAGCUGGAGAUGAGAUUCCGCUCCCUCCACCCCACCACCGCUUCAUAUAUAUAUAUAUAUAUAUAUAUAUAUAUAUAUAUAUAGGGAGAGAGAAAGAGAUAUUACCCAUCGAAUCGAUCACAAAUAUAAGAUUAAUCGUUUCUCCCGCUGUCAUAGAUCGAUAUAUACAAACUUCUCCAUCUCAUUCCCAAAACUAUUAACCGCCGCCACUCCCUCUCAAUUCGAUAAGGGAGUAGCUGGCGGUGGUGAUUAACAAGAGCAGGCCCGACGAUAUAUAUGAAGUCGGGCAUUAAUCCCGCGAUCAUCAUGUCUUUGCCUCUCUUACCACUAGCAUCCGUCCUCCUCCUCCUAUGCCUUAUUGUCUGCAUCCUACUCAAAGCUUUGUCCUCGUCGACUGCUGCUGCUGCUAAUAAUGAUAAGAAGCUGCCUCUGCCUCCGGGAUCCAUGGGAUGGCCCUAUAUCGGAGAGACCUUCCACCUCUACACCUCCAGAAACCCAAACAUCUUCUUCGCCCUCAAACAGAAAAGGUGCGGAUUAAUUCCUAUACAUACAUACAUACAUACAUACAUCAGUUUUCCAACUUAAUUACAAAUGGCAGUAUGCAAUCAAGACGACAAAAUCUAGGUCUUGACUAUAUUAAGUCAUUAAAUAAUUAAUUAGAGAUUAAUUAUUAAUCACUCGAUCGAGCACAUUUAUCAUAACUAAAUUUGCUGUUGAUCAUUGCGGUGUUAAUUACUUCAAAACUAAAUACAAGUUAACGUACAUGUAUAUGCAGGUAUGGGUCUAUCUUCAAGACGCACAUACUGGGUUGCCCGUGCGUGAUGGUGGCGAGCCCGGAGGCUGCGAGGUUCGUGCUGGUGACGCACGCCCACCUCUUCAAACCCACGUAUCCAGCCAGCAAGGAGCGCAUGCUGGGUCCCCAGGCCAUCUUCUUCCAGCAGGGCCGCUACCAUGCACUCCUCCGUCGCCUCGUCCUCCGCGCUGUCAUGCCCGACGCCAUUCGGGACUCCGUCGCCGCCAUCGAGGCAGUCGCCACUCGCACCCUUGCCUCGUGGGAGGGCGGCCGCAUCGUCAACACGUUCCAAGAGAUGAAGACGGUAAGUGCGUGCCUGCUUCCAAACGUCCCGCCCAUUUUCGAACAGCAGUACUGAAAUCCAUCCUAGCUAGCUCACCAGCGAGCUAGCCAGCCAGCCAGCCAGCCAGCCAAAAUUAAUAAAUAAAAGAUAUUGCUGCUCCGGCACUCAUGCUUUCCCUGACAUAUAUCGUUUUGUCUCUGGUUGGAAUUUAAUUGCAGUACGCAUUUAACGUGGCACUGCUCUCCAUCUUCGGAAAGGAAGAGAUUUGCUACAUAGAGGAGAUGAAACGGUGCUACUACGCUCUGGAGAAAGGAUAUAACUCCAUGCCCGUCAACCUGCCGGGAAGUCCCUUCAGCAAGGCAAUGAAGGCGAGGAAGCGGCUGGCUGAUAUCGUGGCCAACAUUAUCUCAUCCAGGAGGAGGAGGAGGAGUAGGACGCGGACGCAGGGGAUCGGAGCAGCAGAGCAUCUCGAGGGCAGCUGCGACUUGCUUGCUUCUUUCAUGGAGACCAACGAAGCACUCACUGAUGCCCAGAUCGUGGACAACAUCGUGGGGGUCAUCUUUGCUGCAAGGGACACCACCGCAAGUGUGCUCACCUGGAUCGUCAAGUUCCUCGCAGAGAAUCCGACCGUCCUCAAUGCUGUAACAGUACGUCCAUAACAUCAACAGCAACAGCAACAUUAAUUAUAACCCGGCCGCGGUGCUGCUGCUCAUUAUUAGGUGCAGGCCCGUGCCGAGGGAGAUCCUUCCCUGGCCCUGCGCAUAUAUAUAUAUAUAUAUAUAUAUAUAUAUAUAACUGCAAAUCAAUUAAGAAACUGCAUGUGUCCCAUUAAUUAUUACGCUUUCUAAUAAUCUGUCUUCCAGCUGCAUGAAUUAAUUGAUGGUAUAUAUUCCUUUCAGAUUCAUUCCGAGAUCUGACUGUAUACAAAUUAAAGAGAUUGAUUAAUUAAUUAAAUUAUAAAUAUAUAUUUAUAUAUAGGAGGAGCAAGAGGACAUCAUGAAGAGUAGAGGUGAAGCGAAAGAGGGGGAAAAGUGCCUAACAUGGGGCGAUACCAGGAGGAUGCCGAUGACCUCUAGGGUGAUUCAGGAGACAAUGAGAGUUGCUUCCAUCCUAUCUUUCACCUUCAGAGAAGCCGUCGAGGAUGUGGAGUUUGAAGGUCCGUACAUAUAAUAUACACGUACCUAGUACAUAUAUAUAUAUAUAUAUAUAUAUAUAGGUGACGGCCGAACGCUUUCUGUUCAGACAACUACAUAUUUCUCACACACAUACAUAUAUCUACAUGAAUGUUAGAACUUAGAAUUGCGCAGCAAAUGUGUCCGAAAAUGUAAAGAUCAGAUGCUACAGGCGUACAUACGUGCAUGCUUGCCUUUUCUUUUCUUUUUUUUCACGCUUACUGAUCAAGUCUAGAUCUUUGCCGCUUUGGUGUACAUACGCAAAAACCAACAGGAUAUCUCAUACCAAAAGGAUGGAAGGUGAUGCCACUAUUCAGAAACAUCCAUCACAGCCCCGACAACUUUCCUGACCCGGAAAAGUUCGAUCCUUCCAGAUUCGAGGUGCGCGAAUACCAUAUAUAGUCAGUCGAAAGUAAAUUAAGAUUGAAUAUUAAUACUGCAUUAUAUAUAUUCUCUAAAUACAAUUAGCUUAUGCAUAUAUAUUCCAUGCACGCAACGGCGCAGGCUGCUCCCAAAGCCCAUACGUUCAUGCCGUUCGGGAAUGGGACGCACUCCUGCCCCGGAAACGAGUUGGCCAAGUUGGAGAUGCUGGUGCUGCUUCACCACCUCACCACCAAAUACACCUGCUCGAUAUUCGGAUCCGAUGCCGGAACACAGUUUGGACCUUUUGUUUUGCCGUUCAACGGGUUACCCAUGACAGUCUCUCGCAAGUGCUCUUGAACGAUUGAAGUCAGCCCACGUCAUAAUAUAUAAAUAUUAUUUACUAAUAAAUCUUUUAUCUUUGGAUUGUUACUGUUGUACCCAUCUCACUAAAUCUUAAAUAUUUAAUGGUCAAAAAGUCGUUGAGAAUAAAUAUUAUUUUUAAACUAUCAAUAACAUUCCGAAUGAAUUUUAUAGAGUUGAUCUAGGAUAAUUUUACAAGUAUCAUCCCCAUGUUGCUAUCACGUUUUUAGCCAUUGGAUCUACUUUUUGAUUAAAAAUAGCCCUUGGAUCAAACACUAUUCCACCUACCACCACCUACCACCAUCAUUUCAACCUCACAUCUCUCCAUCCAAGGGCUAAAAACACACACGUAUCACUUGGGUGAUACUUGUAAAAGUAUUCUAGCCCUACUCGAAUUUUAUAUAUAUAUAUAUAUAUAGAGAGAGAGAGAGAGAGAGAGAUAGUCUUCUAUACUAUCUAUAGUACCGAGACUUCGGUACUAUAGUCUCGUUUUCGAUUUUAGGGUAUUCAAAUCAACGAUCCACACCGUUAAAAUUUAUUUAAGGUAUUUAAAGUCUUUAGAAAUAAAAUUUUAUAUUUUUUCGACAUAGUUUACUUUAUGAUCAAACCAUUUCAAAAUUGUCAAUUUUCAAUGGCUACUAUGGCGAGUUUGAAGUUCAACGGUGUAGAAGAAUCUAAAUUUCUUUAAAUUUUGGUAGAAAAUAUUUUAAACUAUCUAGAUUAAGGUUAACAUUCUUGAUCUUGAAUUUAAAAGUCCUAUGCUCAAAUUUUAAAGAUUAUUUAAUUUUCACCGCUCAUUUUGACAUAAUUUAUUUACUAAGUAAACGAUGUCGAAAAAAAUUAAAAUUUUAUUUCUAAAAAUUUCAUAUACCCUAGAUCAUAUUUAACGGUGUGGAUCGUUAAUUUGAAUACCCUAAGAUUGAAACAAAACUAUAGCACCGGAGCUCCAGUACUAUAAAUAGUACAGUAACCUAAUUCUAUAUAUAUAUAUAUAUUGCAACAAUAAUUCAAAUUUAAUUAAAAUAUAGUUAGAAAUAAGUUUAUGUCUUUUAUUUGAUUAUGAUUAGAAUUUGUAAUUAUCAAACGUGAAAAUCAGAUUUAUUAUCUGUUAUGACUUAAUAGCUAUAUAUAGUAUGGGUGUGACUCAGGAUGUAAUUAAAUACUUUUUAUUAAUAAAAUUUUUAAUUUAAUAUAUACUAUUCUUUUUCUAACAAUUGGUAUCAAAACAAAUCAUACUUCCAACAACACACACACACGCAAUAAAUGCAGAAAGAAUAAACACAAAUAAAAACUUACAUUAAAAUUGUCAAAGAAUAUUCUAAUUAGUAUCAAAUUUUCCUCUAAAAAUAUUAAUUCUUCACAAGUAAUAUAUAUAUAUAUAUUAUAUAUUAUAUAGAGAGAGAGAGAAGAGAGAGAGAGAGCAGGGCAGGGCUGCUAUGCUCUCAGAGCACGGAGGCUCCGUGCUCCUGAGCCGUUUUCGAUGAUGAAUUUUCGAAUCGACGAUCGGCUCCGUUAGAUUGAUCUAGCGCAUUUGAAGUUUCUAGAAAAUAAUUUUGCGAUUUUUGAUAUCAUUACCUAGUGAUCGAAAGAUUCAAAAUCCAUAAUUUUUAAUGGUUGAUAUCUGCCGUUUUCAAGUUUAACGGUGUAGAAUAUUCAAAUCAGAUGAAAUUUGAUAGAAAAUUCUUUAUACUAUCUACAACAAGAUUAUAUUUCUAAUCGAAAAUUUUAGUGAUAUAUCACCACUUUUUAUAGGAUUUUUAUUUUCACACGUUAAAAAUUAUUGAUUUUGAAUCCUUUCGAUUGACUAGUCGAUUGCUAGGUAAAUGAUAUCGAAAAAUCGCAAAAAUUAUUUUCUAGAAACUUUAAAUACGCUAGAUCAAGUUUAACGGAGCUGAUCGUCGAUUCGAAAGCUCCAUCAUCGAAAACGGCUCAGGAGCACGUACGGAGGCCUCCGUGCUCCUGAGUCGUUUUCGAUGAUGAAAUUUUCGAAUCGAUGAUCGGCUCCAUUAGACUUGAUCUAGGGUAUUCAAAGUUUCUAGAAAAUAAUUUUUGCGAUUUUGUGAUAUCAUUUAUCUAAUGAUCGAAAGGAUUCAAAAUCAAUAAUUUUUAAUGGUUGAUAUAUGUCGUUUUCAAGUUUAACGGUAUAGAAGUAUUUAAAUAAGAUGAAAUUUUGAUACAAAAUUCUUUAUACUAUCUACAACAAAAUCAAUAUUUCUGAUCGAAAAUUUUAAUGCUAUAUCACCACUUUUUAUCGAAUUUUUAUUUUCAACCGUUAAAACUUAUUGAUUUUGAAUCAUUUCGAUUGCUAGGUAUCAAAUAAAUUGAGAAAGAAUAAACACAAAUAAAAACUUCCAUUAAAAUUGUCAAAGAAUAUUCUAAUUAGUAUCAAAUUUUCCUCUGAAAUUAUUAAUUCUCAAUUAUAUAGGAUAAAUAUGGAUCGUCAAAUAUUUAGAACAAUGAUGAUUUAUACGUAUCAAGUGAAAUAACGGAGGAUACAAUAUGCAUGCAACGAGAAGUCUAGCUGCUACACCACAUUUUCUAUAUCCAGCCGAUCACAUUUUUAUUUUUGAGAGAAAAAUACAGUAAAAUAUUUUUUCUAAAAAUCAUAAUAAAAUAAAUAAAUUUUUAAAAAAUAAUUUGAUUGAUUGGCCACAUCAGCAAUAUAAAUGCUACAUUCUAGACUUAGGGCGCGUUUGGUUCGAAGUUGAAAUCGAAAUCAGAAUCGGAAUCGAAAUAAGCUGGAAUUGAAAUUGGAAUGACUCAUUGCCUAAUUCUAUUUGGUUCGUUACCUGAAUUGGAAUCGGAAUAAAUCAUUUCCGUUGUCAGUGUUUGGUUUAAGUAGAUAUAAAAAGCGUAAUCAAAUUAAUAUACUAACUUUAUCUUUAUAAUAUAUUAAUUUAAAUUCAAAUUAAAUAUUAAAUAUUAAAAAUUUAGAUGUUGAGCGGAUAAUUCAAAAUAUAAAACUAAAUUUCGAUUUAUUCAAAUUCAAAUUUAAAAUUACAAUUUAAAUUUAAUCUGAAUCCAUAAAUUUAAUUUAAGUUUUAAAUAAAAUUUGAAUAAAAUUUUAUUUAAAUUAAAAUUUAAUUUAAAUUCAAAUUUAUAAGUUAGAUUCAAAAUACCUGAUUAAAUUUUAAUUUGUAAUUCAAAUUCAAAUUAAAAUUUAAAAUUAUAAAUUUAAUUUCUAAGUUUAAACUUAAAUUUUAAUUAAAAAAAUUUAAAAAAUAAAUUUAAUCCGAAUAAAUAUCUAUUUCGUCCGGAUUCAACUUUCAAUCCGACCUCUCAGGCCGGAUUAGGAUGGGAAAAGGAGGUGAUUGGAGGAUUCUUAUUCCACUCGGAAAUUAGAAUCGGGAGAUUGGAAAAAGAGGUGAGAGGCUGGAUUGGUAAAGAGGUGAUUGGGAGAUUUCCAUUCCACUCGGGAAUCGGAAUCGAAAAAUUGGAAAAAGAUGUGAUUGAGGGAUUUCCAUUUCACUCGAGAAUCGGAAUCGGAAUGGGACUUACGCAUACCAAACACCUACAAACGAAUUCACUCAUUUCGAUUCCGAUUUCAGGAUGAAAAAGAAGUGAACCAAAUACGCCCUUAGACUUUUUUGCAGUCUUUUUAGACUUAUUUCCCACCCACAA